AAAUUGAAGAGUUUGAUCAUGGCUCAGAUUGAACGCUGGCGGCAGGCCUAACACAUGCAAGUCGAGCGGUAACACAGAGAGCUUGCUCUCGGGUGACGAGCGGCGGACGGGUGAGUAAUGUCUGGGAAACUGCCUGAUGGAGGGGGAUAACUACUGGAAACGGUAGCUAAUACCGCAUAACGUCGCAAGACCAAAGUG
Molecule: ribosomal RNA, 198 nt
Filed under: Klebsiella aerogenes
Lineage: Bacteria; Pseudomonadati; Pseudomonadota; Gammaproteobacteria; Enterobacterales; Enterobacteriaceae
Description: partial 16S ribosomal RNA
Rfam family: Bacterial small subunit ribosomal RNA
Source: RNAcentral